RNAcentral lists this ribosomal RNA (822 nucleotides) under Xanthoparmelia ralla. RNAcentral's name for it is "SSU rRNA". It matches the Rfam family "Bacterial small subunit ribosomal RNA", at positions 399 to 1188 of the family's 1533-position model. The record is from RNAcentral. Lineage: Eukaryota; Fungi; Ascomycota; Lecanoromycetes; Lecanorales; Parmeliaceae.
GUAGAUAUGAUGCAAGAUCGACUAUGUUGAAUAAAAUUCUAGGUAGAAUUAUGAUAAUGACAUUGUCUGCCUAUGUGUCUUGACCAAAUUACGUGCCAGCAGUCGCGGUAAUACGUAGAAGACUAGUGUUAUUCAUGUUUAAUCGGUUUAAAGGGUACCUAGACGGUAGAUCAAGCUUUCUAAUAAAGGAAAAGGACUAAUUUACUAGAGUUACUUAUGAGGGGGUAUUAAAGUACUGCUGGUGUAGAGAUGAAAUUCUGUCAUACCUCUUUUCAAAAGAAAAACCAUGGCACAGGUAUAGGCGAAGGCAUCCCCUUAUGUGAUAACUGACGUUGAGGGACGAAGGCUUUGUGUAGCGAACAGGAUUAGAUACCCCAGUAGUCGAAGCAGAAAAUGAUGAAUGUCAUAGAUUAGAUAUAUAAGUUUAUUCUAUAAAUGAAAGUGUAAGCAUUCCACCUCAUGAGUAAUUUGGCAACAUUGGAACUGAAAUCAUUAGACCGUUUCUGAAACCAGUAGUGAAGUAUGUUGUUUAAUUUGAUGAUCCGCAAAAAACCUUACCACAAUUUGAAUAUUUAUAUUAUUUAUUGUUUUAUUCUUAAUUUUCUUGAACGUAUAGAUCACGUAAAAGAAAAUAAAACAAGACGGUAAUAGUAAGAAAAUUAAUAAAGAGGCAAUAAGAUAUAUUUACAAGCGUUGCACGGCUGUCUUCAGUUAAUGUCGCGAGACUUUGGUUAGUUCCAUUAAAUUAACGUAAACCCUUACUUUAUUUUUAUAUAGAGUAGUUCCCCGCUAUAUUGGAUAUGAUAACAGGGACUAAGACAA